UGAGGAGUAUUGGUCAAUGGGCGCGAGCCUGAACCAGCCAAGUAGCGUGAAGGAUGACUGCCCUACGGGUUGUAAACUUCUUUUAUAAAGGAAUAAAGUGAGGCACGUGUGCCUUUUUGUAUGUACUUUAUGAAUAAGGAUCGGCUAACUCCGUGCCAGCAGCCGCGGUAAUACGGAGGAUCCGAGCGUUAUCCGGAUUUAUUGGGUUUAAAGGGAGCGUAGAUGGGUUGUUAAGUCAGUUGUGAAAGUUUGCGGCUCAACCGUAAAAUUGCAAUUGAUACUGGCAGUCUUGAGUACAGUUGAGGUAGGCGGAAUUCGUGGUGUAGCGGUGAAAUGCUUAGAUAUCACGAAGAACUCCGAUUGCGAAGGCAGCUUACUAAACUGCCACUGACAUUGAUGCUCGAAAGUGUGGGUAUCAAACAGG
This 424-nucleotide ribosomal RNA is filed under the name uncultured bacterium. RNAcentral's name for it is "bacterial SSU rRNA". It matches the Rfam family "Bacterial small subunit ribosomal RNA", at positions 355 to 776 of the family's 1533-position model. The record is from RNAcentral.